Long non-coding RNA from Dromaius novaehollandiae (emu), 2368 nucleotides. The record is from Ensembl. NCBI's taxonomy places the organism in Eukaryota, Metazoa, Chordata, Aves, Casuariiformes, Dromaiidae.
UCCUCCUUGCUGCUACACACUUGACUGUGCUUCCUKGAAAGCUGCAGGGGUACAUCAGCAGGGCUCAGCAUGAGUUUAUGUAUGUCAGUGACAUAUGAGUAUAAUACAUGAAGUGGCUUCCCCCACACACACACCUUUGCAGGCUCCAGGAUGCUGACASAGCUCCCAUUUGGACUCUGGAGUCCCAUUGAGAUCAUGACAGCAAUGUUUAUGUGCUAUUCUAAUGCUGGUUUUAGUAGCAUAAGUGCUUUUUAAUGCAUAGCAUUACAGCAAGUGUGUCCUAUUCUCUCCCUUACUGAAUGGCUGUCUGGAGGGAUGUAAUUCCAGCUUCUGCCUCGACAUGCAGUUAUUUACAAGCACAGUUACAUGUCCACAUCAGGCAUGGUUAAAGCCACUGCUGAGCUUUACUUAGUUAAUUUGGCAUGCACCACAUGAGAAUCACCUUGACAGAAUAACUGUUGUCAUCCCCAACACACUCAAGGACCCCGUAACUUCAUCGAGAGGGCAACAGGACGUCAGAAGCACACCCAUAGGGAGGWUAAUGCAGUGACGAGCAGCAGUGUCACCCAAGGGGACCAUCACAAGGUCCUACCCUCUGGCAUGCAAGAACCCUGCAGGACACCUGCAGCAUGUCGUGUGGGGUGGCCAGCCUUGUGGUAGCUCCUUGGCCACUGGUUUGCUGAAUACACCCACACUGGCUUCUGGCUAGGAGUUUGCAGACACAGUUGYAGACUUUGGCCAGGAAUUGGCUCCUACAGCCUCUUGCUGUCCAACAUGAAACUCCGCUGSGGAAGAGAACUCAGCUUGAAGUGAUAUAUCUAACAAAGUUACUCWGUACAGUUAUUUUACAAGGSAUUGCCUGUUCUGACAGUGUUUUCCYGAACCUUUGUGUUUCCUGCUCCAGACAGCACCAUCUCAUGAGGAACCGGAAGCAUCUUUGUUAUUUGGAAAAGAGAAGGCUGCAGAGCUUAGUUCAUCCUGGAGGGAGUAGAAGUCCUGUUGGAAAACAGCAAAACGUCCUUGGCCCUAGCUGCCUGAAAGACAGAGGUAAAGAACGUGUGAUGGUAGCCAGUGCCUCAGGCACUAGGGGCAUUUUGGAUAUCCCAGUUGCCUUUGGGGAGGUUGCCAGUACACUCACCCAGUUCUGUGGGAAGCUGGCUGCCCCUUUGCCUAGCACCCGGUGGCAGAUUGCUCAGUGAAAAUCAUCAGCUUCCAUGUGGCUGCUGCUGCUUUCACUGCCAUGAAGAACUGCAGCCAUUUKCAGCACUGGACUUCCAGCUAAGCACUGGUUCUAGUGGAGAUGCUUCCCAGGCAGGUUUCAGCAGCCCUCCUUGUAGAGAAGAAAUCCAGCUUCCCAUUCAAAGGGACCAUAUGCCCUGGGCCUCCUCCUGUUCAGAGUGCACUUAAAGCUCAGCUGCUGUCUCUUCCCAGGGCCAGUGUCUUCCAGGGCUUUCRCUUGGGAUCUUGCCUCUCCCAGGAACUAGGAGGGAUGGCUCAGAGCAAACAGCCUUUACCCUCCUUACCAAGGUCCUCACAUUCUGGGUGAGUUCCUAGUCUGAUGCCACCUUGUCCAGGUGGCAAGCAGGAAUGUGGCAGCUGCAUGCAAGAGCUGGAAUAUAAAACCAAAUAACUAAAUACACAUGUGUAAUUAAUAAGCAAAUCUCAAAAGCCAGAGUUGUGUUUGACUGUAAAGAAAUGCUGUUGACUGCUUUUCUGCAUCURCCUWUAUAACUGCUUUCUGAUGGCUGUUUUUCUAUAUCCAUUGUGUUGCUACAGAGGUUCCUGUUUGCCCUGAAGUUCAGCAGCAGAUGAAUUACAAAGGCCAUUUCCCUGGACAUUCCUUCAGGCUAAGAAAGUGAAAAGGCCAGAGGGGAUGCGAGAGAUGCUGGAUGUCACAUAAGAGGCAGAGAAGCAAAAUGGCUCUUUGGGGCUCCUGUGGUUGUGUUCAUCUGAGGUGAUGAUCCGUGCCCCAUGCCUUUGGCUAGUCAAACUCCCCUGGCUUSAGCAUACAACAGCCAACAGUUGCUCCAGCCUUUAUCUCAGGAAGAGCCCAAAGCAKGGGCUGUUGGAAGAAGCCUGGUGACUGGGAGCUUUCUUCUCACUGGGCUGGCAGGGCAAUGAUGUUCAUGGCUUUAUUUGGGGCCUGUUGUGACUUGCAUUGAUGAAAGGAUGUUCAAAACUAUUGCCUGCUCUGUCAACUUGCWCUGUCGGGGGGAUGGAGGCUGAGGGAAAACUGAUGAGAAAAUAUUCACUAGCCCAACUACUAAGUGAGAUCUCUCUAAUGGAGAAUUUAAUCUCCAAGACAUUGUUAUCUCUGUUAGGUUUUCUGUAUCUUAGGUACUCAAUAAAUGAUUGCUAAAGUAAUUCA